Molecule: small RNA, 529 nt
Filed under: Diaporthe phaseolorum
Lineage: Eukaryota; Fungi; Ascomycota; Sordariomycetes; Diaporthales; Diaporthaceae
Description: eukaryotic LSU rRNA
Rfam family: 5.8S ribosomal RNA (bases 170-323)
Source: RNAcentral
GCGCUUCGGCGCACCCAGAAACCCUUUGUGAACUUAUACCUAUUUGUUGCCUCGGCGUAGGCCGGCCUUUUGUGACAAAGGCCCCCUGGAAACAGGGAGCAGCCCGCCGGCGGCCAACUAAACUCUUGUUUCUAUAGUGAAUCUCUGAGUAAAAACAUAAAUGAAUCAAAACUUUCAACAACGGAUCUCUUGGUUCUGGCAUCGAUGAAGAACGCAGCGAAAUGCGAUAAGUAAUGUGAAUUGCAGAAUUCAGUGAAUCAUCGAAUCUUUGAACGCACAUUGCGCCCUCUGGUAUUCCGGAGGGCAUGCCUGUUCGAGCGUCAUUUCAACCCUCAAGCCUGGCUUGGUGAUGGGGCACUGCCUUCUAACGAGGGCAGGCCCUGAAAUCUAGUGGCGAGCUCGCUAGGACCCCGAGCGUAGUAGUUAUAUCUCGUUCUGGAAGGCCCUGGCGGUGCCCUGCCGUUAAACCCCCAACUUCUGAAAAUUUGACCUCGGAUCAGGUAGGAAUACCCGCUGAACUUAAGCAUAU